UUGAGUAUUUGGAGGUAAGUACCAUCGACGAUCUUGUUUCUAUGAUAGCCUGUAAAAAUCGGAAAUGUUUUGUUCAGCUAGCUAGAUGUGUCUAUGCACAGACAAGUAUUUUGCUUCUCUCACUGGCUAUACUGUAAUAUUAAAAGGGGCACAAGAAAAUAAAACUCUACCCUUUGCUCUAUGAAAGGUUGUGGUUCAGAAGUUUUUAACCUGCGUUCCUGCCUACUCUGCAAACGCAGCUUUGUAGUGGACAUCCUCUUCAAAGGGGAAAGCUACUUCUUAUGGCUU
This is a long non-coding RNA of Perognathus longimembris pacificus (Pacific pocket mouse), 288 nucleotides long. RefSeq lists it as uncharacterized. The record is from RefSeq and is a predicted model, not a curated record. NCBI's taxonomy places the organism in Eukaryota, Metazoa, Chordata, Mammalia, Rodentia, Heteromyidae. The transcript has 3 exons.